This 407-nucleotide ribosomal RNA is filed under the name uncultured bacterium. RNAcentral describes it as "partial 16S ribosomal RNA". It matches the Rfam family "Bacterial small subunit ribosomal RNA", at positions 29 to 526 of the family's 1533-position model. The record is from RNAcentral.
AUUGAACGCUGGCGGCAGGCCUAACACAUGCAAGUCGAGCGGAGCGGCGGACGGGUGAGUAAUGAAUGGGAAUCAGCCUGGUAGUGGGGGAUAGAGUCCGGAAAGGGGCGGUAAUAACGCAUACUAUCAGAGGAGCCUAGGUCGGAUUAGCUAGUUGGUGGGGUAAAGGCCCACCAAGGCGACGAUCCGUCACUGGUCUGAGAGGAUGAUCAGUAACACUGGAACUGAGACACGGUCCAGACUCCUACGGGAGGCAGCCGUGGGGAAUUUUGGACAAUGGGGGAAACCCUGAUCCAGCCAUCCCGCGUGUGCGAGGAAGGCCUUCGGGUUGUAAAGCACGUUUGGCAGGAAAGCGGUACCUGCAGAAUAAGCACCGGCUAACUCCGUGCCAGCAGCCGCGGUAAUUC